Molecule: long non-coding RNA, 829 nt
Organism: Humulus lupulus (European hop)
Lineage: Eukaryota; Viridiplantae; Streptophyta; Magnoliopsida; Rosales; Cannabaceae
Exons: 3
Source: RefSeq, a predicted model, not a curated record
UUAAAUGUCUAAUGGUGUAAAACAUUGAAAGUUUAUAUUAAUGGCUACAAUUGGAAGACAUUGAAAAUGGUGGAAGACGUUGGAAAUAGGCUGGGUAGUGUUUAUGGGUACAUCCAACGUCUCCCAUUGGGAGACGUGGGACACGUGGCACGUCUCCCAGUGGGAGACGUUGGAUGUGCUCCCUUCAUAUAUGACCAAAAAUGCUUGUCUUCCUCACAUAUCAUCACCAACCCGAGAGCAUGCAAACCAGAGGAGAGAAUUGGGGCUGCGUUUUUUUAGGGUUCUAAGGUUGUGAUUUUUGUGGUGAGAUUUUAGAGAGUAUUUUGCAUCAAAAUUCCAAUAUCAAUCACACAUUUGAGCGAAUUUGAUUACUAAGUGAAGUAACUUUGCUAGCUUUUGGAUUAAAGAUUGCAAGAGGUACAUAUAUAUUCUCUUACUUCUACUUUUAAUAUUAUUAAACAAAUGUUAGAGGAGUUUGAAUAUCUUAAAUAUUCAUCCAUAGUGAAGUAGGUUCUGAGAUUAAAAUUGUGUGCUGCGGUGAUAACGGAAGGUUGAGAACUUGUGUGUAUUAGUGAAGUAGGUUCUGAUAAAUUUGACUGUGUGCUGCGGAGCUAUAAGGAAGAAACUUAUUGUAUGUUGUUUGAAUUGUUUGUUUUGCUAUUCACAUGCAGAUGGUUAGGUCACUAUUAUAGGGGAAAUGCUGCCCGAUUUUAUCUAGGAUAAUAAACAAUUAGUUUUAUAUAGACAUUCUAUAAGGAAGAAACUUAUUGUAUGUUGUUUGAAUUGUUUGUUUUGAUAUUCACAUGCAGAUGGUUAGGUCACUAUUAUA